AACCCGCCAUCGAAUGAGGCAAGACUACCCGCUGAACUUAAGCAUAUCACUAAGCGGAGGAGAAGAAACUAACCAGGAUGCCCCUAGUAAUGGCGAAUGAAGCGGGCUGAGCUCACGCUGCCAAUCUGGAGGCCUCGCGUAUGCAGCGCCCCCCGAAUUGUGGUCUAGAGAGGCGUUAUCGGCCGCGCCCGCUGCUCAAGUCCCUUGGAACAGGGUGUCGGAGAGGGUGAGAAUCCCGUACCGUGGCGGGUUGCGGCCUUACGAUGCGUCCUCGUCGAGUCGGGUUGCUUGGGAUUGCAGCUUGAAUUGGGUGGUAAAUUCCAUCUAAAGCUAAAUACUGGCGAGAGACCGAUAGCGAACAAGUACCGUGAGGGAAAGAUGCAAAGAACUUUGAAAAGAGAGUCAAAGAGUGCUUGAAAUCGGUAGGAGGAAACCCGGAUGGGCCCGGCUUCGGCGCGCCGACUCAGCCUGGGGUUCUCCCCAGGUGCACUUCUGCGCGCCGGGUCAGCCGCGCCUCGGCGCCGCGCCUCAACCCGGGAGCGGGGCUUUACGGCCAGCUCCCGUCCUGGCGCGGCCCGGGGCCCGGCUGACGGAACGGGCCCCUCCGACCCGUCUAGAAACACGGACCAAGGAGUCUGACACGUGUGCGAGUACCCGGGUGGCAAGCCCGCGUGCGGAAUGAAAGUGAAGGGCAUGCCCUGCCAACCGACCUUGACCUGCUGUGAGGGGUUUGAGUGGAGCACACCUGUCGGGACCCGAAAGAUGGUGAACUAUGCCUGGGUAGGGUGAAGCCAGAGGAAACUCUGGUGGAGGCUCGUAGCGAUACUGACGUGCAAAUCGUUCGUCGAAUCUGGGUAUAGGGGCGAAAGACUAAUCGAACCAUCUAGUAGCUGGUUCCCUCCGAAGUUUCCCUCAGGAUAGCUUGAACGCAACGGUUUUGUCAGGUAAAGCGAAUGAUUAGAGGCCUGUGGGCUGAAACAGCUUGCACCUAUUCUCAAACUUUAAAUGGGCAAGAGGCCCGGGAUGCUUGAGUGAUCCCGGGCGGCGAACGGCGCGUUCAAAGUGGGCCAUUUUUGGUAAGCAGAACUGGCGAUGCGGGAUGAACCGAACGCCGCGCUAAGGUACCCAAGUGUCCGCUCAUCAGAUACCACAAAAGGCGUUGGUACCUCCAGACAGCAGGACGGUGGCCAUGGAAGUCGGAACCCGCUAAGGAGUGUGUAACAACUCACCUGCCGAAGGUACUAGCCCUGAAAAUGGAUGGCGCUCAAGCGGACCACCGAUGCGCGGCCGCCGGCGCGAGCGCGAGGCGCCGGCGAGUAGGAGGGCGCGGGGCUCGCGGCGCAGCCUUGGGCGCGAGCCUGGGUGAAGCGGGCCCCGGUGCAGAUCUUGGUGGUAGUAGCAAAUAUUCAAAUGAGAACUUUGAAGACUGAAGUGGAGAAAGGUUCCGUGUGAACAGCAGUUGGACACGGGUGAGCCGACCCUAAGAGACAGGAAAACUCCGCCGAACGCGGCUGGUUCUGUCAGCCCGUCCGUCGAAAGGGAAUCGGGUUAAUAUUCCCGAGCCAGCGCGUGGAUGGUGGGCGGCGACGCGAACGAACCCGGAGACGCCGGCGGGAGCCCUGGGAAGAGUUCUCUUUUCUUCUUAACUGCCUCCUGCCCUGGAAUCGGUUUAGCCGGAGCGAGGGCUACACGGCAGGCAAAGCACCCUAAGUCUUGGGGUGUCCGGCGCGCUCCCGACGGCCCGUGAAAAUCCGGGGGAGCGGUUCGUUCUCACGCCUGGUCGUACUCAUAACCGCAUCAGGUCUCCAAGGUGAACAGCCUCUAGUCGAUAGAGCAAUGUAGGUAAGGGAAGUCGGCAAAAUGGUUCCGCAACCUCGGGAGAAGGAAUGGCUCUGAAGGCUGGGCGCAGGGGUCCUAGGCUCGAGGCCGGCUGGCUGCGCGGGGACUACGGCCUCACGGCUGCGGAUCCCGCGCGGCCGUCCGGCGGACGGCCUAGGAGCGCUCCGGCUCUCCCUGCGCGACGAACAGCCGCUUCAGAACUGGCGCGGACAAGGGGAAUCCGACUGUUUAAUUAAAACAAAGCAUUGCGAUGGCCCGCGAGGGUGCUGACGCAAUGUGAUUUCUGCCCAGUGCUCUGAAUGUCAAAGUGAAGAAAUUCAACCAAGCGCGGGUAAACGGCGGGAGUAACUAUGACUCUCUUAAGGUAGCCAAAUGCCUCGUCAUCCAAUUAGUGACGCGCAUGAAUGGAUUCGUGAGAUUCCCACUGUCCCUAUCUACUGUCUAGCGAAACCACAGCCAAGGGAACGGGCUUGGAAGAAUCAGCGGGGAAAGAAGACCCUGUUGAGCUUGACUCUAGUCUGUUACUGUGGAACGACUUGAUGGGUGUAGAAUAUGCGGGAGGGGCAACCCGACAGUGAAAUACCGCAACCGUCAACGUUGUUUUACUUACUCGGUGGCGCGGAGGGAGGCUCGCCUCACUUCUGGAUCCAAGCCGCUUCGUGCGCGCGAUCCGCGUCGGGGACACUAACAGGUGGGGAGUUUGGCUGGGGCGGCACGUCUGUUAAAAAAUAACGCAGGCGCCCGAUUUUGAGCUCAAUGAGAACAGAAAUCUCAUGUGGACCGAAAGGGGAAAAGCUCGGUUGAUUUUGAUUUUCAGUACGAAUACAAACCGCGAAAGCGUGGCCUAUCGAUCCUCUCGUCUUUGGGAAUUUCAAGCUAGAGGUGUCAGAAAAGUUACCACAGGGAUAACUGGCUUGUGGCUGCCAAGCGUUCAUAGCGACGUAGCUUUUUGAUCCUUCGAUGUCGGCUCUUCCUAUCACUGCCUCGCAGCGGGGGCCAAAUGCAGGAUUGUUCACCCACCAACAGGGAACGUGAGCUGGGUUUAGACCGUCGUGAGACAGGUUAGUUUUACCCUACUGCUGUCUGUUUUUCUACGGUAAUUUGGUUCAGUACGAGAGGAACCACCAAUUCGCAUCAUCGGUAUAGCCGCCGCCGGAAACGGCGAUGCGGCGAAGCUGCCAUGCGCCGGAUUAUAACUGAACGCCUCUAAGUUAGAAUCCAUGCCGGAAGGAAAGCCACCUACCGGCCCGGGGACGCCACGAGCAACGGUAGCACUGCCUGAGCCGCGAGCGACCACAAUUCACGGACCCGGGCCGACGAAUCCCUUGCAGACGACUUGAAUAAGGAACAGGGUAUUGUACGCGGCAGAGUGGCCUUGUUGCCACGAUCCGCUGAG
RNAcentral lists this ribosomal RNA (3235 nucleotides) under Emiliania huxleyi CCMP1516. RNAcentral describes it as "eukaryotic LSU rRNA". It matches the Rfam family "Eukaryotic large subunit ribosomal RNA". Lineage: Eukaryota; Haptophyta; Isochrysidales; Noelaerhabdaceae. The record is from RNAcentral.